AGGUGUUUCAUCAACAGGAACCCAAAGGUCACUGUCAGCAUUUUAAACACCUGACUGAAACAGGAGAAGUUGCAGCCCAGCACAUACUGUGGGCCUCAAUCUAUGUGGAUCCAACAGUGUCACAGCACACACUGUGGGCAUGAAUUUAGGCAGAACCAAACAGAUGAACAAUAGAUGAACUGGAGCUACUCAAAGGAGAUCCAGGCUUGUCUGGGUGAUUAAAGCUGGAUUGGUGUUCUGUGAGCAGCUCUCCUGGACACAGUACGUGCUCAGCUAAUGUGGGACAGUUUCAUUAUCUGCAUGAACUGGUGAUGUGGGCAUUGCUGUAGAAGAGAAAGCAAGCAAAGGGUUUUCAAGCUGCAUCCCCUGCCUGUGUGACACAGAUGGACAUUGCCAGCAGAAAUGGUUCACGAGAGGAAGAGGAUUUCCGUUCAUCUUUCCAACUGAAGUUGAGGUCCUAUGAGUGCAUGGACAUUGGAAGCCAUAUGUGUUUGGAUGUUGACCAUGGAGAUGAACCACAGGCUCACCCCUGAGCCACCAGAGAGAGAAAUAUGUAUGGCUGACUACUUGCUAACCUUACAUCAGGAUAUACAAUCUGUUUACACACAUUUAACAUGGCUGAACACCUUGCCACACCCAUUCA
This is a long non-coding RNA of Mus musculus (house mouse), 643 nucleotides long. RefSeq annotates it as predicted gene, 30192. The record is from RefSeq and is a predicted model, not a curated record. Lineage: Eukaryota; Metazoa; Chordata; Mammalia; Rodentia; Muridae. The transcript is spliced from 6 exons.